AAGUAUUAUUGCAUUAGAGGCAUGGGCUAUGCAAAAAUAAAAAUAUUUCGAGGAAAUAAAAAGGAGCAAGUGCUCGACAACCUCGCAGAAAAAUGGACAAGUGUCCGGCAGUAGAAUUAGGGGUACCUCGGUAUCCACUUAAAAAAAAGAGAGAGAGAGAGAAAAGAGAAAAAAAUGAUAGCCCAUGGUCCCUCUAAUAAGCAAUAUGCCAGCAAGAGUUGACAAAGAUUUUAAUUUUCAAAGUCUUUGAUCUAAGAGUAUGACAUUCCCCUCCUCGGAUCCCGUUUUGAUCAGGCAAUAAAUGCAAAGUAAGUAUGCUUGAGAAUUUUUGCAAAAAAAUAAAACAGCCUCAGUGAGAUAUAUAUAUAAAAGAUAAUGAGUGAUAUGAGAGAACCUAUGAGGAUAAAAAGGUAUGCUAACUUUCUUUCAAAAAUAUACAAAAACUCCAAGUGACAGGAUUGAGAAGAAAGGAUCUUUACUCUUAACCAUAUACUUCUCUGACUAUGGUACACAGUGAAUUUUUAACACCCUGCAAUUAUAUAAAGAAUGCUCUAAAAUAUUUUACCCCAGAUAUUGUUCUUAACCAUCCUUUUCUCGAGGACGAGUAAAAGCCUAAGUAUGAGGGUAUUUGUUGACGGUUCUUAAGUAUCAAUUUUAAUUAUCAAAUAAACAAGAGAAAGGACCAAUAUGCAACCAACACCUAGAAUUAGGGUUUGAUCUGACAGAAUUCCACGAGUUUUGUUGUUUAUCUGUUUCUGCAGGGGGUUAUCAGGAAAUAAGGAAGAAAGGCCCAC
This 794-nucleotide long non-coding RNA is filed under the name Sorghum bicolor (sorghum). RNAcentral describes it as "long non-coding RNA (SBIC_LNC014571)". The record is from RNAcentral. Lineage: Eukaryota; Viridiplantae; Streptophyta; Magnoliopsida; Poales; Poaceae.